Molecule: long non-coding RNA, 1368 nt
Organism: Topomyia yanbarensis
Lineage: Eukaryota; Metazoa; Arthropoda; Insecta; Diptera; Culicidae
Exons: 3
Source: RefSeq, a predicted model, not a curated record
UAAAAUCUUAGAAGCAGGGAGGUCAUGCUAGGGUUGACACUAUCCUUCAUGGGAAAUAGUGUUCAGAGUCGGAUCUGCGUAAAAUCGGAAAUGGUCUAACCGAACCUAGUACCACCAACCAAAUGAUGACGAGUUUCGACCGUACCCGGAGACCAGCCAGGGUUUUGUUGAGACGGAGGCUGUCAUGCUGUUAGCCCACUCGCCAUUUCAAGUCGGUCUCAUCCUUACACAGGGAGUAGAACAGCACGCCCGUCAUGUGAAUCAGCAGUGGUUCGUUUAGGUAACCAUCGUAGAAUUUUAACAGAGUGUUCCUAGGGCAGAAUUUGCGUAAUCUUGGCCUACCAGAAAAUUUUGAAAAAGCAACGUUCUUUCCACAUGUCUUAGGAACACUCUGUUAAAAUGAUACGAUGGUAUACAAUAUUGAGCGUAUUCAAAAAGGUAAUGCGCUAUCGUGCAGCCCUACCCGCAAAUUCUGAAUAUACAAAGUUCUUUCCACAUGUCAUAGGAACACCGUUCAAAUUGUACGAUGGCAUAUUUUCAUGUUUGAAAAUCAUAUUCAAAAAUGUAAUGCUUAAAAGUGCUGGUCUACAAGAAAAUUUUGAUAUGAAGAGAUCUUCCCACGUGUCUGUUGAAAUUUUAUGAUGGCAUAUUUUUAUAUUUUAAAUUGUUUUCAACAAUGUAAUGCGCAAUCGUGCUGUUUACUAAACGAGCAGCUCACACGUGCUUUUGCUUGUCAAUGAACGUAGUGUACUGAGCUCACUACUGGGUAAAAUGCGCUAGGAACAUGCAUACAAGUCGAAAUUCUUGUAGGUAUAUGCUAGCGCAAAUAAAGAACGCCCUAUUGGAGAAAUCAUUGCUAGCGCAUUUAACCGCAAUCUGAUGUUGAUGGUUACCGUUAUGUAGUUGAAUAAAAAAAAUACAAUACAUCUAUCAUUUUAGUUGAGCACACGAGUCCGGAAUCAGGUGGAACAGAAAAAACGUCAAGUUUCAGCAUUGGCGGCAGGAGUGAGUCAAGAAGGGCAAAAUCUCUUCCUAGCAAUAGCACGCACUAUCAAUCAGGUAUCGUGGUCUGGACCUAAUAUUGUUGUAUUUCAAGAUGUGACCAUAACACCUCCCUAUAAAGUAGAUAACAUAAACGGGUCACCUGAUUCCAGACAGUUAACAUACGUGGAAAAAAUAGUAGAAAAGCAUCUUAACGAUCAGGCUUCUACAAGUUCGAGUCCGACUAUUGUUUCUGCCAAGUGAUGCAUUCGUUUCGAAGAAUCAGAUAGAAGUUUCCCGGAAAAUGAAAUAUGCAGUACAUACCAUCAGAAUUAUAAUUCAAAGAAAUGAAGGAAAUAAUAGCAACAUUAAAAACAUGAAUAAAAA